Molecule: ribosomal RNA, 512 nt
Filed under: uncultured bacterium
Lineage: Bacteria
Description: partial 16S ribosomal RNA
Rfam family: Bacterial small subunit ribosomal RNA
Source: RNAcentral
GAUGAACGCUGGCGGCGUGCCUAAUACAUGCAAGUCGAACGAAAAUUCUUUAACCUUGCGCGUCUGCACUCACCGGCGAACGGGUGAGUGGCGAACGGGUAAGCAACCUGUGGGCAAGGGGUAAAUAAGGGGAAGAUAACCUAAUACCGCAGAUGCUAAUACCCCAUAACCAUAGUUACUGAAAGGCGACUUUGCUAAAGGUGACUAUACUACCGCUUUUGGAUGGGCCCGCGGCGCAUUAGCUAGUUGGUAGGGUAAAGGCUUACCAAGGCAAUGAUGCGUAGCCGAAUUGAGAGGUUGAUCGGCCACAUUGGAACUGAGACACGGCCCAAACUCCUACGGGAGGCAGCAGUAGGGAAUCUUCCACAAUGGGCGAAAGCCUGAUGGAGCAACGCCGCGUGGGUGAUGAAGGUCUUCGGAUCGUAAAACCCUGUUGUUAGAGAAGAAAGUGCGUGAGAGUAACUGUUCACGUUUCGACGGUAUCUAACCAGAAAGCCACGGCUAACUACGUG